UUCCUUUGUACACAUUAAUAUUCAUUCAUUCACUCAAGAAGAUGCAGAAUUUGAAUAGGAAGAUCUGAUAC
This 71-nucleotide small nucleolar RNA is filed under the name Peromyscus maniculatus bairdii (prairie deer mouse). RNAcentral describes it as "Small nucleolar RNA snoR64a (ENSPEMG00000002868.2)". Lineage: Eukaryota; Metazoa; Chordata; Mammalia; Rodentia; Cricetidae. The record is from RNAcentral.